AUAAACUGAAUUUGUCAGAACUGGAAUGAGUGGUUGAUUGAUCACCCUAAUUGUUGGCCUCCUUUUGGAAAUGACAGAAUGCCAAUCUUUGGCAUGAUUUGUUUAUAUGCACUAAAAUAAUUGACCUGACCGACCCAGAGAUGCUAUAAAGGCUUUAAAUUAAAAAAGAAAAAAUGAUCGCAGAGCUCCUCCUGGAACCUGUCAAGCUCACCACAUCCCAUAAUGUAAGGUAUGAUAGGGACCAUCUAAAAAAUUUAGGGCCUUUGACUGUGAAAAUCCUGCAUAGAUGGAUCAUGUUGUCUUUCUUUGGUAAAACUGGAAUUCCCAUGUAGAGUGAUGAGAUUAAUUUUGUCAGGGAUUAUGUUCUGAAUUCCAGCUUUUUUCCCUUCUCUCUCUAGCACUGUUGCAUUCUGCUGACAUGUCCGCUUUAUUCUAGCACUUGGUUGUUUUUGGUGCCUGACUUUCCUGGGGUCUGAAGGGAUGAUACACUACAUGUAUUGCAAAUGUGCCUGCCAUUAACUCGUCACCGGGUUCCAGCCUGAAAUUCCAUUAUCUCUUCAGACUUUUAUCAAUCCUAACUCAGGCUUUCCUCGAGUCCUGGCUCCAGGAUUUUUUGGUUUUCCCUUCUCCCCAAGUAUGCAUGAUUCCUUUCUGUUUGUUUUUUGAGACUGGGUCUUCCUAUGUAUUCUAUGGUGGCCUUGAACUUGCUGUAUAGCCUGGGCUGGCCUGGAACUGGCGAUUUUUCUGCCUCAGCUUCCCUCAGUGCUGGGAUUAUAGGCAUAUGCCACCAUGACCUUCUCCUUAUUUCCUUACAAUAGUUUUUUUGCAUGUUGGGCAUAUCACCUGAGGUUGGUGCUUUAAAUGGCAGUAGUUUCCUACUGAAAUCAAGAGUUUAAUCUGGUCAGGUAGUACUGCUAGAGCCAGGUCUGCAGCUCUGUGUCCUCUUUAGUGCAAUCCCAGGAGGGAUUGCAGCACUCCCUGCCCUGGAGCUUAGUUGCUCCCUGCUCUAGUCACUUGGGAGACCACCUCAAGUGCUCAUUUGCCUUCAAGGGAAAUGUGAUCCUGAUUAUCCUUGCCUGCAACAGAAGGAUUAUGUGGAUUAAAGGAAAUCCGUGGGUAAUCCAGAAGCUUUAUUUUAAACUGUAGUUUAACCACAUUCCUGACCAUAGUUGUCCUUGCAUUUCUAAUAACUAAUUUAUGAUAUUUUCUAAUUGCACAUUUCAAUAACUAAUUUAUAUUAUUUACCAACUGUACCCCUUCUGUUAUUUAGAAGCAAUGGCAGUUGUGAAGUACAGAAAAAAUGGAAGGAGUCUAAGGAGUUAGAUGACCAACCAGCAUUGCCCAAAUAAUUUGGCGUUCACUAUGGUUUAACCACUAUGCUUGUUAGACCUUGAAGACCUGAAUUCCUUGAAUUCUUUACCUACUGAGCCACUGGAAGGAAUUUGGAGUGACUGUCAACAGGAUGUCAGACUCCAUUUUGACAUAUUUAAGUUCUAGGGUUUGAACUCAGGGUCUAUGCUUGCUAAGCCCUUGAACCACUUGAACCACACCUCCAGCUCUUAAAAUAUACUGUGAUUGUGACUGCUAAAAGCCUGGACAACUGACUUGCUUUUACUUGAUCAGGGUGUUGACCUUGGUGACUCUAGUGUCAUAGAGCCUCCCAGCCUGUUUGAUCUGGUGCUUAUUGCCUUGCUGUCCACAGUGAACUUAAUGAAUCUUCCAAUCUGAAAAAGUCUUCCAAGAAAAUUUCAGUUUUAAAAAUAAGUAAUGUCACCCAUUUUCCUAAAAGAUUGAAAUGGGAGCUAUCAUUUUGAGGGCCCCGUGGUUAGAAUGUGCUUCAACUUCAUGAUGCCUUCUGCUAUGGCAGACAUCCUUGACAUCUGGGCAGUGGACUCACAGAUAGCGUCUGAUGGCUCCGUAUCUGUGGGAUUUCCUUUGCCCACUGGCAUUUAUAUCCAGUUGGAUGUACCUCGGGAAGCUACCAUUUCUUAUAUUAAGCAGAUGUUAUGGAAGCAAGUUCACAAGACCCAUGUUUAACCUCCUUAUGGAAAUUGACUCCUACAUGUUUGCAUGUGUGAAUCAAACUGCGGUAUAUGAGGAGCUUGAAAUGAAACACGAAGACUUUGUGAUGUCAGACCUUUUCUUCCAGUUCUCAAAUUAGUGACAAAAGUUGUGACCCUGCAGAAAAAUUGGACUCAAAAAUUGGUGUCCUUAUAGAAAAGGUAAUUUAAAAGUCUUCAUGAAUUGAUGCCUUGAAGGAUCCUGAAGUGAAUGAAUUUCGAAGAAAAUGCGUAAAUUCAGUGAGGAAAAGAUUCAUCUCUUGUGGGAUUAUCGUGGAUUGACUGGCUGAAGCAGACAUAUCCUCCAGAGCACGAACCAUCUGUCCUUGAAACUUGGAAGAUAAACUUUAUGGAGGAAAGCUCAUUGUGGCUGUUCACUUUGAAAAUAGUCAGGAUGUGUUUAGCUUUCAAGUAUCUCCUGAUAUGAAUCCUAUCAAAAUAAAUGAGUUGGCAAUCCAGAAGCGUUUGACUGUUCAUGGGAGGGAGGAUGAAGCCAGCCCCUAUGACUAUGUGCUGCAAGUCAGUGGCAGAGUGGAGUAUGUGUUUGGUGAUCACCCGCUGAUUCAGUUCCAGUAUAUCCGGAACUGUGUGAUGAAUAGGACCCUGCCCCAUUUUAUACUUGUGGAAUGCUGCAAGAUCAAGAAAAUGUAUGAACAGGAAAUGAUUGCCAUCGAGGCUGCUAUAAGUCGGAAUUCAUCCAACCCUCCUCUUCCUUUGCCACCAAAGAAAACACGAGUUAUUUCUCAUGUUUGGGACAAUAACAACCCUUUCCAAAUUGUCUUGGUGAAGGGAAAUAAACUUAACACAGAAGAAACUGUCAAAGCCCAUGUCAGGGCUGGGCUUUUUCAUGGUACGGAGCUCCUGUGUAAAGCCAUCGUAAGCUCAGAGACAUCAGGGAAGAAUGAUCACAUUUGGAACGAACCACUGGAAUUUGAUAUUAAUAUUUGUGACUUGCCAAGAAUGGCUCGGUUAUGUUUUGCUGUCUAUGCGGUUUUGGAUAAAGUAAAAACGAAGAAAUCAACUAAAGCUAUUAAUCCCUCUAAAUACCAGACCAUCCGGAAAGCUGGAAAAGUGCAUUAUCCUGUAGCAUGGGUGAACACAAUGGUCUUUGACUUUAAAGGACAGUUGAGGUCUGGAGACGUGAUACUGCACAGCUGGUCUUCAUUUCCUGAUAUGACUGAAGAAAGUGUGAAUCCAAUGGGAACUUUCAGACAACCUUACACUGAAAAUGCAACUGCUUUGCACAUUAAAUUUCCAGAGAAUAAAAAGCAUCCCUAUUAUUACCCGCCUUUUGAUAAGAUUAUUGAAAAGGCAGCUGAGAUUGCAAGCAGUGAUAGUGCUAAUGUGUCAAGUCGAGGAGGAAAAAAGUUUCUUGCGGUACUGAAAGAAAUCUUGGAUAGGGAUCCCCUGUCUCAGCUGUGUGAGAAUGAAAUGGAUCUUAUUUGGACUUUGCGACAAGACUGCAGAGAGAAUUUCCCACAGUCACUGCCAAAAUUACUCCUUUCAAUCAAGUGGAAUAAACUUGAAGAUGUGGCUCAGCUUCAGGCGCUACUUCAAAUUUGGCCUAAACUGCCCCCCCGGGAAGCUCUGGAACUUCUAGAUUUCAACUAUCCAGACCAGUAUGUCCGGGAGUACGCUGUGAGCUGCCUGCGACAGAUGAGUGAUGAAGAACUGUCUCAGUAUCUUCUACAACUGGUGCAAGUUUUAAAAUACGAGCCUUUUCUUGAUUGUGCGCUCUCUAGAUUCCUACUAGAAAGAGCACUUGCUAAUCGGAGGAUAGGGCAGUUUCUGUUUUGGCAUCUUAGGUCAGAGGUGCACAUUCCUGCUGUGUCAGUACAAUUUGGUGUCAUCCUUGAAGCGUACUGUCGAGGAAGUGUGGGACACAUGAAAGUGCUUUCUAAACAGGUUGAAGCACUCAACAAGUUAAAAACUUUAAAUAGUUUAAUCAAACUGAAUGCAAUGAAGCUAAACAGAGCUAAAGGAAAGGAGGCCAUGCACACUUGUUUAAAACAGAAUGCAUACCGGGAAGCCCUCUCUGACCUGCAGUCACCUCUGAAUCCAUGUGUCAUCCUCUCAGAACUCUAUGUGGAAAAGUGCAAAUACAUGGACUCCAAAAUGAAGCCGUUGUGGUUGGUGUACAGCAACAAGGUGUUUGGUGAGGAUUCGGUCGGAGUGAUUUUUAAAAACGGUGAUGAUUUGCGACAGGAUAUGUUAACACUCCAAAUGUUGCGCUUGAUGGAUUUGCUCUGGAAAGAAGCUGGUCUGGAUCUUCGGAUGCUGCCUUAUGGCUGUUUAGCAACAGGAGAUCGCUCUGGCCUCAUUGAAGUUGUGAGCACCUCUGAGACGAUUGCUGACAUUCAGCUGAACAGUAGCAAUGUGGCUGCUGCAGCAGCCUUCAACAAAGAUGCCCUUCUCAACUGGCUUAAGGAAUACAAUUCUGGGGAUGACCUGGAUCGAGCAAUUGAGGAGUUCACCCUGUCCUGUGCUGGCUACUGUGUAGCUUCUUAUGUCCUCGGGAUUGGUGACAGACAUAGUGACAACAUCAUGGUAAAAAAAACUGGCCAGCUCUUCCACAUCGACUUUGGACAUAUUCUUGGAAAUUUCAAAUCUAAAUUUGGUAUUAAAAGGGAGCGAGUGCCUUUUAUUCUUACUUAUGACUUUAUUCAUGUCAUUCAACAAGGAAAAACAGGAAACACAGAAAAAUUUGGCCGGUUCCGCCAGUGUUGUGAAGAUGCAUACCUGAUUUUACGACGGCACGGGAAUCUCUUCAUCACUCUCUUUGCACUGAUGUUGACUGCAGGACUCCCCGAGCUCACAUCAGUCAAGGAUAUACAGUAUCUUAAGGACUCUCUUGCUUUAGGGAAAAGUGAAGAAGAAGCACUCAAACAAUUUAAGCAAAAAUUUGAUGAGGCACUCAGGGAAAGCUGGACUACUAAAGUGAACUGGAUGGCCCACACAGUCCGGAAAGACUACAGAUCUUAACGACCAGCCUUUGCUCCUAAUGUUCCCCUUAGUUUUGUUUUGUUUUCAUUUUGCACUUGCACUAAAUUGAACAAGACCCUGCCAGAGAUGUUAUAAAGGGAAUGAAAUCCUUUAUAUGAACUCAGAGAUAAAUAAGAACAAGGCACCCCACAGAAACUAAUGUGAACAAUCCCUGACAACUACACUCUGCUUUUUGAAUGCUUCCAAGACUCAUCAUGAAUCCUGUCAACAUUAUGGAUAAUCAUUUCCUGCUGACUUUGCACGCCAAGGAAUGAAUGCUACUAGGGAUUGUUUGAUGUCUCUUUUUUGUUUUUUAAAGUGUUUGGUACUUUAUGAGAAAGGUGUAAAUACUUAUUUUCAGUGUUGUGACCAGGUGUUACCAUUCAGCCAACAACUUGUCCACACCUGGGGACUGUUCUUAUUUUCCAAAUGAAGCAUCAAAGAAAGUUAUCUUCCUUCCCUUUUAAAAUUGUAUAAAGUACAAAUUAUAAUCUGAAUCUAAGAUUAUUUUUCAAAAGAAAUCUUUUAAUCCUAUGGAAACUCAUUAAUUUUGUUAAUAUUUAUCUACCUGGUAGUAUCAUUCCAGCCAGACUUGCUGAAAAUCUGUUGGUGAGGUGAACAUAAUAUAUAUAUAUAAAAUAUGCUGCAUUUAUAUUUAUAAAAUUUCUAGUGGGAGUUCUAUAUAAAAAGAUGUUUCUUUGGUAUUCUCUAGCCUGUAUUUAAAGUUUUACAAAAAGCGGAGCUUUUUCCUAAGUUACCUUUCAGUUGGUUAACUGCGAUCCAGUUCUUCCAGCUGCUUCUGUAAUGAGGCACAUAUUAAUAUACUUUUUAUAUGGUAUCUGUGAAAGAAUUCACUUCAUAGUACAUAAUACUUGAGCAGAUGUAUCGAUGAAAGCAAGCAAAUGAAAAGGAACCUAUUUAUGGAAUAAACUCCAGACCUAAAAUUCAGUAUUUUAGUAAAAUGCCAGCUAUUCUUACUGUAUUUAUUAAAACUUGUAAUAAUGUGAUUUUUCAAUGAUACUAGUUCACACUGAAAUGGUUUCAUGCCACAUGGAAGUCUUCAGUUUAUUUCUUGAGGUACCACACACUUAGGGUGCUGGGUGUGAAUAAUGUUAAUAUGUGCAAUAGGAACUACUGGCUUGAUGUGCAGGUGAAGUAGACACUCUGAGUACUGGCACGAUCCAGCAGAACCACUGCUUAUUCUCCAAAGGAUAUUGGGGGCUCUCAGUCCUCAAUGAAUGGGAAAGACAGCUGAGUUCUUGCCCUGUGACUGAGUCUUCUAUAGGAAUUUUAUUAAAGGUUGUUUAAUUUUGUUGUCCUUCUUAAUGUUCUCAGUCAAAUAAAUGGGUGAGCUGGUUUCAGCUGGUUUUGG
Molecule: non-coding RNA, 6414 nt
Organism: Castor canadensis (American beaver)
Lineage: Eukaryota; Metazoa; Chordata; Mammalia; Rodentia; Castoridae
Source: RefSeq, a predicted model, not a curated record